RNAcentral lists this ribosomal RNA (6344 nucleotides) under Triticum aestivum (bread wheat). RNAcentral describes it as "partial small subunit ribosomal RNA". Lineage: Eukaryota; Viridiplantae; Streptophyta; Magnoliopsida; Poales; Poaceae. The record is from RNAcentral.
CUCUCCGGCUCGUCACACUUCCUCCCAGCGGCCGCUCCUCCGCCGCCGCGACGUUCGUUCCUCACUUCCAAAGUUGAACCUUUCCUUCCGCCUUUGUCCCCUUUACACCGAAAACCAUUCCCCCACCCCGCCCCUCCAACUAUAAAGGCGUCUUCGUCUUUUAAACCUUAGCGAAGUCGGUUUUUUGACCACGCGUUUCACAGUAGUCUGUGCCAGGGAAUAAGUCUCGCCCGACACCUGACAUCGUCAGCGUGGAAGAGUGCCACGAGGUUCUAUAAAACACGACGUAGAGUGUGCCAAGCAAUAUUAUUUGACACACCCUAGAUGAACUAAAAAGUAGAACUAAACUUAAUGUAUUACCCCAGUGUCGCCGGUACCUGCCACAAACUUAACGAUCUGGAAAAUAGACGUCACUAGUAUUUUCUUAACCUUAAUAAGUCCCAAGCAAACCUGUAAAAAUACGCAAUUCAUUCAAAAGUUACGUAAAUACACGUAUUAAGUUUAAACUUGAUGUACGUGUACGAGGUCACGUAUAUUUAACCAACUUUUUAGUUUAGAAACAGGAACCAACGUACGAAUCCAGGGUACGUUCUUUACUCUUACUUAAAGAUUGUGGUCCCGUGGCAACUAACGGCCGUUUUGUAACUCUACGGACCAAAAUUUUAAGAUCGUUUAGGUUUUGAGCGGACUUUAAGUACUUUGAACCGUACGAUAGUACGUCGCCGUAGUUGUACCACACCAUUUCAAAAACAGGGUAAACCCCGUCCAAACCCAUACACGAAGAGUGUUUGGUCUCGAAGAGUGUUGUUCGUACUACCAAAGCCAUCCCUUGCGGGGUUGAAACCCCCGCUUUGCUAUAGGUAACGGAGAAUAACGAAAGUUUAAAAAAGGGCACAGUUGUAUCUUAUUGUCCUCACAACACAAUUAAAAAGACUAAAAAGCACCAAGCAAACCUGUAAAAAUACGUAAUUCACUCAAAAGUUACGUAAAUACACGUAUUAAGUUUAAACUUGAUGUACGUGUACGAAGCCACGUAUAUUUAACCAACUUUUUAGUUUAGAAACAGGAACCAACGUACGAAUCCAGGGUACGUUCUUUACCCUUACUUAAAGAUUGUGGUCCCGUGGCAACUAACGGCUGUUUUGUAACUCUACGGACCAAAAAUUUAAGAUCAUUUAGAUUUUGAACAGACUUUAAGUACUUUGAAUGUACGAUAGUACCUCGCCGUAGUUGUACCGCACCAUUUCAAAAACAGGGUAAACCCCGUCCAAACCCAUAUACGAAGAGUGUGUGGUCUCGAAGAGUGUUGUUCGUACUACCAAAGCCAUCCCUUGCGGGGUUGAAACCCCCGUUUUACUAUAGGUAACGGAGAAUAACGAAAGUUUAAAAAAGAGCACAGUUGUAUCUUGUUGUACUCACAACACAAUAAAAAACACUAAAAAGCCCCAAGCAAACCUGUAAAAAUACGUAAUUCACUCAAAAGUUACGUAAAUACACGUAUUAAGUUUAAACUUGAUGUACGUGACGAGGCUACGUAUAUUUAACCACUUUUUAGUUUAGAAAACAGGAACCACGUACGAAUCCAGGGUACGUUCUUUACCCUUACUUAAUGUUUGUGGGAAGGUGGCAGUGAGUUGGCGUUUGUAACUCUAUGGACCAAAAAUUUGAGAUCAUUUAGGUUUGGAUCAGAUUUUCAGUACCUUGAACCGUACGAUAGUACCUCGCCGUAGUUGUACGGCACCAUUUCAAAAACAGGGUAAACGCCGUCCAAACCCAUAUACGAAGAGUGUUUGGUCUCGAAGAGUGUUGUUCGUACUACCAAAGCCAUCCCUUGCGGGGUUGAAACCCCCGCUUUGCUAUAGGUAACGGAGAAUAACGAAAGUUUUUUUUAGAGCACAGUUGUAUCUUGUUGUCCUCACAACACAAUAAAAAAUACUAAAAGCCCCAAACAAACCUGUAAAAAUACGUAAUUCACUCAAAAAUUACGUAAAUACACGUAUUAAGUUUAAACUGAUGUACGUGUACGAGGCCACGUAUAUUUAACCAACUUUUUCGUUUAGAAACAGGGACCCACGUACGAAUCCAGGGUACGUUCUUUACUCUUACUUAAAGUUUGUGGUCCCGUGGCAACUAACGGCCGUUUUGUAACUCUACGGACCAAAAAUUUAAGAUCAUUUAGAUUUUGAGCAGACUUUAAGUACUUUGAACCGUACGAUAGUACCUCGCCGUAGUUGUACCGCACCAUUUAAAAAACAGGGUAAACUCCGUCCAAACCCAUAUACGAAGAGUGUUGUUCGUACUACCAAAGCCAUCCCUUGCGGGGUGGAAACCCCUGCUUUGCUAUAGGCAACGGAGAAUAGCGAAAGUUUAAAAAAGAGCACAGUUGUAUCUUGUUGUCCUCUCAACACAAUAAAAAAAUUAAAAAGCCCCAAGCAAACCUGUAAAAAUACGUAAUUCACUCAAAAGUUACGUAAAUACACGUAUUAAGUUUAAACUUGAUGUACGUGUACGAGGUCACGUAUAUUUAACCAACUUUUUAGUUUAGAAACAGGAACCCACGUACGAAUCCAGGGUACGUUCUUUACCCUUACUUACAGUUUGUGGGACGGUGGCAGUGAGCCGGUGUUUGUAACUCUAUGGACCAAAAAUUUAAGAUCAUUUAGGUUUUGAGUAGACUUUAAGUACUUUGAACCGUACGAUAGUACCUCGCCGUAGUUGUACCGCACCAUUUAAAAAACAGGGUAAACCCCGUCCAAACCCAUAUACGAAAAGUGUUUGGUCUCGAAGAGUGUUGUUCGUACUACCAAAGUCUAUCUUGUGGGCAUACGUUUUACUCUCGUCCUAAACACGUAGAGAACUUGUGUUUACCAAGCAAACCUACUGGGCACACUUGGUGAAUGUUUGUUAAACCACGCUAAACGUAGACAGUAUAACCCAUACAGCGGUAAACAGUUUGAUCUUUCUAACUGUAAACAACUAGAUCAUUGUAACGGUAAACGGUUGGAACAUUGUGACGCUAAACAGUUUUAUACUUCGAUUCUUAGUGAUCGUCAUAGAUUAAAAACGUUGAUUUUAAGUCAUUAAUUCGCAUCUACCUCCGCUCCUCCGCACAAGUCGGUCCGUACGUCGCCCGCCGCGUCAUGAUAAGCUAAACUGUCGCCCACCGCGUCAAGGGCUAUGCCGAAAUUACGUCUGCUCCCUCUCCCAUCGCCAAGGGCUUUACAACUUGCUGGUUACUCCGUAGGAGGAAGUUAAUCGUAGCACGCUUACGUACUCCCUUCAUUACCCUCCUGGCCCUUUUCUCCGUCGUGCUACACUUACGUUGCGUCAAACGUGAGUAUAUUUCCGCGGGGAGGUAAGGUUACGUAGAUGGUGUAGCAUGCGUGGAUUCGUAAACGGAUUCGUGGAUGUGAUUAUUCGCGUUUUCACGGGUGAGGUCUGGGUACCGCCGCUACUCGCGCUAGUCGGUUGCCGACACGGUCUACCAGGUGCUACGGCCGGACGCCGUACCGUGGCACCUAGCACAGGUAUGCCACAACCGCUGGCCGACCACCUACCAGCAGCAGCUGCGGUCGAUGCUGAGAGUCAACCUGGUCUACUAGCAAGCGUGGUGGUUGUCCAAGCGGCAGCAGUUCUUCGAGUACCUACUGUAGCGGCAUGAGGAGGUCGGGCGCGCGGGCCCGAGGAGUAACGGACGGUGGGAUUAGCCGGAGGUACCAGCCUUGGAGAAAGUUCGUGAUCGCCGGGACGCUGACGGGUGGCUGCGGUGCUUCUUACAGGUGGACCUCCAGCGCGAGCGGCGCUCCGCGGAGGUAAACGUUCUUUAGUAGCUGGAUGUGUAGGUACACAUGCUCGCUUAGCACAUGUAUCCAUAGAUGUUCCGAUCACUCCUGCGAUGCUGCAACCGGAAGAAGUCGGCCGAUCUUCGGAACCUACGUAACCAACUCUUCGUGGAACUGGAGCGGUGUGUUCGGUGGCGAGGAAUCGGUAGCCAGCUACCGGACCGGCCACGUGACUCAACUCCUCCUCCUCCAGCAUGCAACUACCUACGUAGAAAGAAGAACGGACAACAUUGGUGGUGACGCUAGCGUAGUAGCAACGGAAUUAAGAAUAAAACGAUAACGUAAGAGCAAGGUCAGUUAUGUCUGUACACGCUAGGGAAACGAGUUAUGUCUGUACAAGCAAGAUCAGAAUAAAACUAACCGAACUUACUUCCAGAUAGGGUAGCAAUCCGCGGCGUCGCGCGAGACGAGCGAAGGCAGCCGCGCGAGCCGAACACCUGUCGAAAAGGAACGCACAAGUUGACGAUAUACGUAUAUAUAUAUACCAACGAGCGGCAACUCCGCUGGCGCCUCGCGAGACGAGCGCAGGGAGGCACGCGCGAGACGGUUGCCAACCCGCACGCGUGCUAGUACAGCCCCCGGGGCAUACGUACGCCAACACGGCGCGCGCAACGGUGCGCUACGUCAAUGCACGCUGUGCUACCUCAAUGCGCGACGUUUAAUCUUGACGGUAGUCCCGGACGGCUAUAAGGACCGGCAGGCCGAAGGGGAAAUUAAGGGCGCCGGUAAUAUUGGAAUCAGAGAAGUGGGAAAACUAGCGCGGGGUGUUGUGUUGUUCGUGUGGGUGCUACUGUGUAUCUCUCCCCUACAGAUCGCCGCGAGGUUACCUCAAGCCGCUCGUAUCUCACCUCUGGUUGCGUUCCCUCUGCCUAGAGAAUCACCACAUGUGGUAGCUGGGCCGGCACCACCUGCUGAUGUAGUUGUCGCAACUCGUCAACGAACGAGCUCUAUUCAUGUUCCACCAGCUGUAGCUGGAGGUCAUGUGACAGCCAGCAGGGCCGUAUCUAGUCUUCCAACGGCAGCGGAUCAACACACACGCGGUAGUACAGGAGUAGAUGGUGAUGACGUACCGGUGUCUCGGAACGCUGGCAAAGUUGUCCAAACAGUUGUCGUGGCUGAUGUUCAAACGGUGCCACCUUUGGUUUCUGCUACAUUUUCGCGAGUCACAAUGCCCGAACCGGACGUUCUUGGAACAGCUUUAGGUACUGGUGAUGUCACAGACCCCGUCGUGCUUCGUCCUGAGGGACCAGCUUGAGCGGAGCCGGUAGUAACUGGGGAUGAUACUUUUCUACUUCGUCCUACGGGUCUCUUGUUCAGGGCAUAGGACCGUGUUCCGGACCACGCCGUUGACCUACUUGGAGUCGAGUCCAAGCACCGGUUCUCGCACAUGUGUACGAUACUCUACGUGUUCGCCUAGCAACUGUACUCCUUCACGGAGCAAUGGGUUUAGCUACUCGGGUCUAGCUCGGUGUUCGUCUCGUUCGCAGUGUUCUCUACACAUGUGUGUUCGAUUGGUUUUCCUCGUCUUUUCCCCACGUGUGUUGUACAGACGAGCAAUUAUUGUUCAGUCCUCCCCCGAUAGGUUCCUGCUCUUUCGACCCUUCGAGCGUAACGUCGAAACCGAAUUCGACACUCGUGAAAAAGCAGUCUCUUCGACAUCAAACUACAAAACCGGUUCGUUACCCGACAACAUGGUGUUACCACAAGGAUUAACAACCGAGAAGGUAUAUCUUCGAGACUUUGUUUUACUCUACCGGAGUUUAAUUCCUGUCAAUUUGGUCGACGAGGCUCUCCCCUACAACUCCUAUUGCUGUUACUGCUCGUUCAGCCACAAACACUUCGAAGCGGACUCGGUAAGGUCGAGAAGGUCUCCGUGUUCCUCUCGGAUUUCAGUCCCAUGCAAGUUAGCUCCUGUGAACUAAGAGGUUCUUAAACAACUCCUAUUGUUACCGUUGCUCGUUCAGCCGUAAACGCUUCGAAGUAGUCUCGGUAAGGUCGAGAAGGUCUCCGUGUUCCUCUCGGAUUUCAGUCCCAUGCAAGUUAGCUCAUGUGAACGAAGAGGUUCUUAAACAUAUUAGUAAUCUUCAGGUUUCUUACUCAGUUCGGUUUCUAUACUUUUACCUUGUGUAAACGCGAGGAUGCUCUUCUUCCAGCGCGUUGACUCCUAAGUCCUGCGGUUGUCACGCCUCGACAAGCGGUAACUCUCCUGGUCCCGACGGUAGUCCCUGUAGACCUGGUUCAAGUUGUAGAGGGAACGGAGGCAGUUGCGGCCGCUGGCUGAGAUGUUCGCAGAUCGACACGAAAUACUGUACUACUUACGACGGUAGCGAACGAAAACUCGUGGAUGUUCAAUGGGACAACGUACAUUAGAGAUUCUGACGGUGAGUAGUCCGAACGUACGCGGACAAUUAUGGUCCCGAUAUUGUUGUGAAAAUACACAUAUAUGAGUCAAGACGAAGGGGGGAGACAAAAUUUACUUAAGGAAGCAUUUCGUUCAACUAA